GAUGAACGCUGGCGGCGUGCCUAAUACAUGCAAGUCGAACGCUGGAGGCCGGAGCUUGCUCUUUCCUGAUGAGUUGCGCACGGGUGAGUAACGCGUAGGUAACCUCCCUGGUAUCGGGGGAUCACUAUUGGAAACGAUCUCUAAUACCGCAUAACCGUAUAUUUUGCAUUAUAUCUACUUAAAAGUUGCAAUUGCACCACUACCAGACGGCCCUUCGUGGUAUUAGUUAGUUGGUGAGUUACCGGCUCACCAAGGCGACGCUACAUAGCCGACCUGAGAGGGUGAUCGGCCAGACUGGGACUGAGACACGGCCAAGACUGCAAUGGGAGGCAGCAGAAGGGAAUCUGCGGCAAUGGAGGGAAGUAUGGCCGAGAAAGGCCGCGUGAGUGAAGAAGGAAUUCGGAUCGUAAAGCGAUGUUGUAAGGGAAGAACGAGUGUGAGAGUGGAAAGUUCACAAUGUGACGGGAUAUGACCAGAAAGGGACGGCUAACUAAGGG
This 497-nucleotide ribosomal RNA is filed under the name uncultured bacterium. RNAcentral's name for it is "partial 16S ribosomal RNA". It matches the Rfam family "Bacterial small subunit ribosomal RNA", at positions 28 to 507 of the family's 1533-position model. The record is from RNAcentral.